This 406-nucleotide ribosomal RNA is filed under the name uncultured bacterium. RNAcentral's name for it is "partial 16S ribosomal RNA". It matches the Rfam family "Bacterial small subunit ribosomal RNA", at positions 29 to 526 of the family's 1533-position model. The record is from RNAcentral.
AUUGAACGCUGGCGGCAGGCCUAACACAUGCAAGUCGAGCGAGCGGCGGACGGGUGAGUAAUGUCUGGGAAACUGCCUGAUGGAGGGGGAUAACUACUGGAAACGGUAGCUAAUACCGCAUACCAUCAGAUGUGCCCCGAUGGGAUGCGCUAGUAGGUGGGGUAACGGCUCACCUAGGCGACGAUCCCUAGAUGGUCUGAGAGGAUGACCAGCAACACUGGAACUGGGACACGGUCCAGACUCCUGCGGGAGGCAGCAGUGGGGAAUAUUGCACAAUGGGCGCAAGCCUGAUGCAGCCAUGCCGCGUGUGGGAAGAAGGCCUUCGGGUUGUAAAGCACUUUCAGCGGGGAGGCGUUACCCGCAGAAGAAGCACCGGCUAACUCCGUGACAGCAGCCGCGGUAAUAC